UACGAAGGGGGCGAGCGUUGUUCGGAAUCACUGGGCGUAAAGCGUGCGUAGGCUGCUCUGAAAGUUAGGAGUGAAAGCCCCAGGCUCAACUUGGGAAUUGCUUUUAAUACUGCAGGGCUUGAAUUCGGGAGAGGAUAGCGGAAUUGUCAGUGUAGCAGUGAAAUGCGUAGAUAUUGACAGGAACACCAGUGGCGUAAGCGGCUAUCUGGACCGACAUUGACGCUGAGGCACGAAAGCGUGGGGAUCAAACAGG
This 253-nucleotide ribosomal RNA is filed under the name uncultured Dongia sp. RNAcentral describes it as "partial 16S ribosomal RNA". It matches the Rfam family "Bacterial small subunit ribosomal RNA", at positions 524 to 776 of the family's 1533-position model. Lineage: Bacteria; Pseudomonadati; Pseudomonadota; Alphaproteobacteria; Rhodospirillales; Dongiaceae. The record is from RNAcentral.